GGAGAGAGCUGCGUGAUGUAUCACCACUCACCAGCCCUUGCCGGAGACCUGUUUAGAGUGAGAUUACAGUCUCAGCAGAGCCUCUCAUUUCUCCUGGUCACGGGGUUACAGAGCACUUUACAACUUGUGCUACAGGAAGGCAGGGAGGGAUUUAAAUGAGAGACUGGAAGAGACCCUCCAUAAACCUCAGCCAGAGCAGCCCUGACUCACAGUGCUGUCACUGGCUAUGCCGUCAUCCUUACCUUGUCCACCUAGAGUGUUCAUCACGAGCUGUUUUUGCCCACUUAUCCCCCAGUCACUGCCCACUUUGAUACCACUGCUCCUAAGGCCACUAAAGCUGCCUCACUGCGUGACCUUGCUCUGAUUUCUCCAACUUCUCUUGGUGCGGAAGUUUCCUGAGAAGGACAUACCUGAGAAGCAUCCACCAGAACUGUACUCACACCACCCAACUGAUCUGGACCUUCUGGAGAGGCAAAGGGCCUGCUCUAACCUGAGAAGUGGAGGAGAUUUUGUCUUCUUUACACUGAGGAGUUUUAAUCCUAGAGCCAAUGUUAUUUAAUUCCAGUUGUGAUCACUUCUAUGAAGGCUAUUUUGAGGACCUGUCACAGGCAAGUGUGUGUGCCUUAAACGGGGUGUUGGGUUAUUUUUGUUCUUUGUAUCAUGAUUCUCUAUACUUACAUAUAAGUUAUAAUUAUUUUUUUGCCAUCUAUUCAAUACUUAAUCAAUGUUUUAAAAAUACUCAAUUGACACUUCAGGAGAGUUUUUAAGUGUUAUUCAUGUGGGUUCAGGUUCAGCUCUAGCACUUAGCAGCUGUGUGAUUUUGGGCAAGUUACUUAACCUCCCUAAGCCUUGAUUUUCUUAUCCGUGAAAUGGGAAUGUCAAAACAUUUACCUCAUGGAUGGUUGUGAGGAUUAAAUGAGAAAAUGCAUGUAAACUGCUUAUCCAAGUAGUACUGUGUACAGAGUAAGUGCUUAUUAAUGUUCACUAUAACUUAAAAUAUGAUGAUGGGAAAUGAUAGCAUGGGAAAAUACUCACGAUUUGACAUAUGUAUACAUUAUGUAAUGAUUACCACAGUCAGAUUAACACAUCCAUCACCACCCAUGCUGUACAUUAGAUCCCCUGAACUUGUCAUCUUAUAGAUUGUACCCUGUGACUAACAUGUCCCCAUUCCCCCAACCUCGUACUCUGGUAACCACCAUUCUACUCUUUGCCUCUAUGUGUUUGACUUCUUUAGAGUCCACAUGUAAGUUGAGACCAUGCAGUAUUUGUCUUUCUAUGUCUGAUUAUUUCACUUAUCAUAAUGUCUUCCAGGUUCAUCCAUGUUGUUGCAAAUGGCAGGAUUUCAUUCUUUUUUAUGGCUGAAUAAUAUAAAUAUGAUAUAUAAAUAUGAAUAUAUGCUAUAUACACAAUGGAAUAUCUAUACACAUACACAUAUAUCAAUCACAUUUUCUUUAUUCAUUUGUCAAUGGACACUUAGGUUGUUUCCAUAUAUUGACUAUCAUGAAUAAUGCUGCAAUGAACACAGGGGUGCAGAUGCCUGUUUGAGAUACCAAUUUCAUCUCCUUUGGAUAUAUACCCAGAAGUGGGAUUACUAGAUUUUAUGGUGGUUCCAUGUUUAAUUUUUUGAAGAACCAGCAUACUUUUUUCCAUAAUGGCUGUAUUAAUUUACAUUCCUACCAACAGUAUGCUAGGGUUUCCUUUUCUCCACAUUCUCACCAACAUUUGUUAUAUCUUGUCUUUUUUGGUAUCCUAACAGCAUAAGCUGAUAUACCACUUUGGUUUUGAUUUGCAUUUCCCUAAUCAUUAGUGAUGUUGCACACCUUUACAUAUAUAUAUGUGUAGGUCAUUUGUGUGUUUUCUUUGGAAAAAAUGUCUAUUCAGGUUCUUAGCCCAUUCGUGAAUAAGGUUUUUUGUCUUUUUGCUAUUGAAUUAUCCUUUUAUGAUAAAAACUCUCAACAAAUUAGGCAUAGAAGGAAUGUGCCUCAACAUAAUAAAGGCAAUAUAUGGCAAACCCACAGCUAACAUCAUACUCAGUGGUGAAAAGCUGAAAGCUUUUCUUCUAAGAUCAGAAACAAUACAAGGGUGCUCACUUUCACUACUACUAUCCAACAUAGUACUGGAAGUCCUAGCCAGAGAAGCUAGGCUAAAUAAAUAAAUGGCAUUCAAAUUUGAAAGGAAGAAAUAAAAUUGUCUGUUUGCAGAUGACAUGAUCUUAUAUAUAGAAAACCCUAAAGACUCAAUUA
RNAcentral lists this long non-coding RNA (2243 nucleotides) under Homo sapiens (human). Its description in RNAcentral is "HSALNT0407257". Lineage: Eukaryota; Metazoa; Chordata; Mammalia; Primates; Hominidae. The record is from RNAcentral.